UUACCACCUGGGAGGACCAAUGCCUUCCACAGCCAACUUCAGCUGGGCCCAUUCAGUGCUUAAACUGUCUCAUAGAACCCAGCAGGCCUUACCAGCCAGCGUCCUUCUGCUGCUUCAGUUCAGAAGGGCAGGAACCUCAUAGACAGCCCUACGAUGCUAAAGACAGAGGACCUUCAUGCUCAGAAAAUGUAUUUUACAUCCAAGCUGGUUGAAUCUGUGGAUGUGGAACCCGUGGAUACAGAGGGCUGUCUGUAAUUUGUUGUCCAAACCAGGACACUUGAGAGUGAAAAGAGAUGCCAUUAAUAUUAUUCUGAAACAGAAGACCUAAAUUGGGACUGUCCCAAAUAAUCUAGGAUAUAUGUCAUCCAACUUCAAAGGAAGUCACAGGAAGGAGGUGGGAAACAAGGACUGUGACAUCAUCUUCUCCUGGGAGCCCAAGCACUUAACCAGCCACUACUAGCAAAGAGGCUCUGCAAUAAAGAGCACAGUGUGAACUGGAAUUCAGACAGCGGAAAGUUAGGACUAAAUAUACAUAUAUGUGUUUGUGGAGGUGUGCACACGCAUGCACAUGAACCAAGGGGUAGAUCUGAUGUGACCACAAUGAAAAAAAUAACCAACAAGAUGACAAGUUGACAGUGCCCUUCCAUAGCCCCAGCGAAGCCUCUUGCAUGUAGGGAAGGGAUUCAGAAGAGUCUAAAGACUCUUUGUGAAAUAGACUCCCUGCCAGCCACGCCUCCUCUGUGGCCAAAACCCCUGUGGAUGUCCACAGGAGAGCCAGGCCCGUUCACUGACCUGAUACUGCAGGAAGGUAGAGUGAUUCGUGAACACUGGUGGAGGUGGAUAGUUCAGGUUGAGCCAGAGUGGCUGGUUCAGGGUUGCUGAGGUCAAGGCUGUAGCAAAGUGUGGAGUGAAAACAUUCCCUGUGUACUUCGGGUUGUUCUUGUCAGCAACCGUCACAGGUGCGUUAACUGCAAGUCACAGGAGAGGUAAAGCGGGUCAGUAAUGGAGGCAGGGAAAGGCCAGGACACCUUCAGCAUCACAACUUCCCUGGGGAUUCGCAGUCUCACAGGUCAGGUCCUUUAAGCUCCAAGAGGGUUCUUCAAAGUCCUAGUACAUUUCCAACUAUAGGUAAACAUCAUUAGUUCACACCUUGCCAAUUUGGAAGGGAUGAAAAUCCCAGAAGGUCUGGCUUGGAGCUUUUCUUUCCAUCAUUCACUAGUAAAGAAGGCAGUUUAGCAAGGGAAUACAAUAAGCCAGAUUGCUAGGGCUAUAUUUCACCUACUUACAAAAUGAAAUUCUUUCAACUGCUUUGGAAAAAUCCAACUUUAUGUGAACCACUGCUAUGCCAUUGGAAUUCAUCCUUAUCAAAUGAUUAAAGCAGCCCUCCCUAAGGACAUAUAUUUGGCAACACUAAGAAACUUUCACAGGUUGUUGUAUCUAUAUGGGAAUUAAAAAAUAUAUAUUUUAAAACAUUAAA
Non-coding RNA from Macaca mulatta (Rhesus monkey), 1477 nucleotides. The record is from RefSeq and is a predicted model, not a curated record. Lineage: Eukaryota; Metazoa; Chordata; Mammalia; Primates; Cercopithecidae.